UACAGGGGGGGCAAGCGUUGUUCGGAAUUACUGGGCGUAAAGGGCUCGUAGGUGGCCAACUAAGUCAGACGUGAAAUCCCUCAGCUUAACUGGGGAACUGCGCUUGAUACUGGGUGGCUUGAGUUUGGGAGAGGGAUGCGGAAUUCCAGGUGUAGCGGUGAAAUGCGUAGAUAUCUGGAGGAACACCGGUGGCGAAGGCGGCAUCCUGGACCAAUACUGACGCUGAGGAGCGAAAGCUAGGGGAGCAAACGGG
This 253-nucleotide ribosomal RNA is filed under the name uncultured bacterium. RNAcentral's name for it is "partial 16S ribosomal RNA". It matches the Rfam family "Bacterial small subunit ribosomal RNA", at positions 524 to 776 of the family's 1533-position model. The record is from RNAcentral.